Molecule: ribosomal RNA, 458 nt
Filed under: uncultured bacterium
Lineage: Bacteria
Description: partial 16S ribosomal RNA
Rfam family: Bacterial small subunit ribosomal RNA
Source: RNAcentral
CUACGGGCGGCACCAGUAGGGAAUUUUCGGCAAUGGGGGAAGCCCUGACCGAGCAACGCCGCGUGAGUGAAGACGGCCUUCGGGUUGUAAAGCUCUGUUGUAAGGGAAGAAUGGUACAGAGAGAAUCUGUAAGUGACGGUACCUUACCAGAAAGCCACAGCUAACUACGUGCCAGCAGCCGCGGUAAUACGUAGGUGGCGAUCGUUAUCCGGAAUUAUUGGGCGUAAAGGGUGCGUAGGCGGCCUUUUAAGUUUAUGGUGAAAGCGUGGGGCUUAACCCCAUAUAGCCAUAGAUACUGGAAGGCUAGAGUACUGGAGAGGAAAGUGGAAUUCCAUGUGUAGCGGUAAAAUGCGUAGAUAUAUGGAGGAACACCAGUGGCGAAGGCGGCUUUCUAGCCAGUAACUGACGCUGAGGCACGAAAGCGUGGGGAGCAAAUAGGAUUAGAUACCCCGGUAGUC